RNAcentral lists this ribosomal RNA (592 nucleotides) under Eulimnogammarus verrucosus. RNAcentral's name for it is "SSU rRNA". It matches the Rfam family "Eukaryotic small subunit ribosomal RNA", at positions 28 to 536 of the family's 1831-position model. The record is from RNAcentral. Lineage: Eukaryota; Metazoa; Arthropoda; Malacostraca; Amphipoda; Eulimnogammaridae.
AUGCUUGUCUCAAAGAUUAAGCCAUGCAUGUCUAAGUCCAAGCUGUGUUCACACGGCGAGACCGCGGACGGCUCAUUAAAUCAGUCGUGGUCCAAAUGGGCCAGUGCAAAUCCUACUUGGAUAACUGUGGUAAUUCCAGAGCUAAUACAUGCAACUGAUAUCCCGAAGGCGGUGUUUGGGCUUGCUUGCCUUGCGCUGCGCUGCUCUGACGGAUGCUUUUAUUAGACCAAGCCGCUGAGGACUUGAGGGUUCGCGCUCUCUUGUCUGACUCGUGUGAUGGUGACUCUGGAUAACCAAAUUCUGACAAGCGCACGUACUUCUCUUCUGAGCGAGACGGCGCUGCCACUUUCGAGUGUCUGCCUUAUCAGCUAUCAACCGUUCGUUAUGCGCGACCGAUGGCUUUGACGGGUAACGGGGAAUCAGGGUUCGAUUCCGGAGAGGCAGCCUGAGAGACGGCUACCACGUCCAAGGACGGCAGCAGGCACGCAAAUUACCCAAUCCCAGCAAAUGGGGGAGGUAGUGACGAAAUCUAACGAUGCGGGCGCCCUUUCUGGGGCCCCGCAAUCGGAAUGGGCACUUUCUAAACAACCUG